AGAUUGAACGCUGGCGGCAGGCCUAACACAUGCAAGUCGAGCGGUAGAGAGGUGCUUGCAUCUCUUGAGAGCGGCGGACGGGUGAGUAAUGCCUAGGAAUCUGCCUAGUGGUGGGGAUAACGUUCGGAAACGGACGCUAAUACCGCAUACGUCCUACGGGAGAAAGCGGGGACCUUCGGGCCUCGCGCCAUUAGAUGAGCCUAGGUCGAUUAGCUAGUUGGUGAGGUAAUGGCUCACCAAGGCGACGAUCCGUAACUGGUCUGAGAGGAUGAUCAGUCACACUGGAACUGAGACACGGUCCAGACUCCGUACGGGAGCAGCGAGUGGGAAUAUUGGACAAGUGGGACGAAAGCCUAGAUCCAGCCAUGCCGCGUGUGUGAAGAGGUCUUACGGAUUAGUAAA
This 402-nucleotide ribosomal RNA is filed under the name uncultured soil bacterium. RNAcentral's name for it is "bacterial SSU rRNA". It matches the Rfam family "Bacterial small subunit ribosomal RNA", at positions 26 to 429 of the family's 1533-position model. The record is from RNAcentral.